Molecule: ribosomal RNA, 253 nt
Filed under: uncultured bacterium
Lineage: Bacteria
Description: partial 16S ribosomal RNA
Rfam family: Bacterial small subunit ribosomal RNA
Source: RNAcentral
UACGUAGGGGGCAAGCGUUGUCCGGAUUUAUUGGGCGUAAAGAGCGUGUAGGCGGCUAGGUAGGUCCGUUGUGAAAACUCGAGGCUCAACCUCGAGACGUCGAUGGAAACCAUCUAGCUAGAGUCCGGAAGAGGAGAGUGGAAUUCCUGGUGUAGCGGUGAAAUGCGCAGAUAUCAGGAAGAACACCCGUGGCGAAGGCGGCUUACUGGUCCGGUUCUGACGCUGAGGCGCGAAAGCGUGGGGAGCAAACAGG